Molecule: ribosomal RNA, 381 nt
Filed under: uncultured Glomus
Lineage: Eukaryota; Fungi; Glomeromycota; Glomeromycetes; Glomerales; Glomeraceae
Description: SSU rRNA
Rfam family: Eukaryotic small subunit ribosomal RNA
Source: RNAcentral
CUAUGAUGUCAUUAAUUUGGUGUCAUGGGAAUCAGGACUGUUACUUGAAAAAAUUAGAGNGUUUAAAGCAGGCACACGCUUGAAUACAUUAGCAUGGAAUAAUGAAUAGGACGUUUGACCCUAUUUUGUUGGUUUCUAGGAUCGACGUAAUGAUUAAUAGGGAUAGUUGGGGGCAUUAGUAUUCAAUUGUCAGAGGUGAAAUUCUUGGAUUUAUUGAAGACUAACUACUGCGAAAAGCAUUUGCCAAGGAUGUUUUCAUUAAUCAAGAACGAAAGUUAGGGGAUCGAAGACGAUCAGAUACCGUCGUAGUCUUAACCAUAAACUAUGCCGACUAGGGAUCGGAUGAUGUUAAUUUUUUAAUGACUCAUUCGGCGCCUUACG